This 466-nucleotide ribosomal RNA is filed under the name uncultured bacterium. Its description in RNAcentral is "partial 16S ribosomal RNA". It matches the Rfam family "Bacterial small subunit ribosomal RNA", at positions 28 to 507 of the family's 1533-position model. The record is from RNAcentral.
GAUGAACGCUGGCGGCGUGCUUAACACAUGCAAGUCGAACGAUGAAGCUCAGCUUGCUGGGUGGAUUAGUGGCGAACGGGUGAGUAACACGUGAGUAACCUGCCCUUAACUCUGGGAUAAGCCUGGGAAACUAGGUCUAAUACCGGAUAGGAGCGUCCACCGCAUGGUGGGUGUUGGAAAGAUUUAUCGGUUUUGGAUGGACUCGCGGCCUAUCAGCUUGUUGGUGAGGUAAUGGCUCACCAAGGCGACGACGGGUAGCCGGCCUGAGAGGGUGACCGGCCACACUGGGACUGAGACACGGCCCAGACUCCUACGGGAGGCAGCAGUGGGGAAUAUUGCACAAUGGGCGAAAGCCUGAUGCAGCGACGCCGCGUGAGGGAUGACGGCCUUCGGGUUGUAAACCUCUUUCAGUAGGGAAGAAGCGAAAGUGACGGUGCCUGCAGAAGAAGCACCGGCUAACUACGUG